GCCUGUUUAGCUCAGUGGAUAGAGCAUCAGCCUGUGGACUGAAGGGUCCUGGGUUCGAUUCCAGUUACAGGCU
Non-coding RNA from Myotis brandtii (Brandt's bat), 73 nucleotides. Lineage: Eukaryota; Metazoa; Chordata; Mammalia; Chiroptera; Vespertilionidae. The record is from Rfam.